AUAAUAAUUUGUCUUAUAAUUGAAGUCUGGAAUGAAUGGUUCAAUGAGAAGAAUUCUAUCCCCUUUUUAAAAAUUGAAUUUCAUGGUUAAGUAAAAAAGCUUAAAUAAGUUUUUAAGACGAUAAGACCCUAUAAAGCUUUACUUAUACUUGAUAAAACAUAAGUAUAUUUGAAUCACUUAAGUUAAGCUGGGGCGGCAAUUUAAUUAAACAUUUUUAGUUAAAACAUAUUGAAUGAAUUAAAGUAAUGAGGAUUUCCUAAUUUAAAAUCAAGUUACUUUAGGGAUAACAGCACAAUUAAAUCUAAGAGUUCUUAUCGAAGAAAAAGAUUGU
Molecule: ribosomal RNA, 331 nt
Filed under: Helleria brevicornis
Lineage: Eukaryota; Metazoa; Arthropoda; Malacostraca; Isopoda; Tylidae
Description: partial 16S ribosomal RNA
Source: RNAcentral